GAUGAACGCUGGCGGCGUGCCUAAUACAUGCAAGUCGAGCGAACAGACGAGGAGCUUGCUCCUCCGACGUUAGCGGCGGACGGGUGAGUAACACGUGGAUAACCUACCUAUAAGACUGGGAUAACUUCGGGAAACCGGAGCUAAUACCGGAUAAUAUAUUGAACCGCAUGGUUCAAUAGUGAAAGACGGUUUUGCUGUCACUUAUAGAUGGAUCCGCGCCGCAUUAGCUAGUUGGUAAGGUAACGGCUUACCAAGGCAACGAUGCGUAGCCGACCUGAGAGGGUGAUCGGCCACACUGGAACUGAGACACGGUCCAGACUCCUACGGGAGGCAGCAGUAGGGAAUCUUCCGCAAUGGGCGAAAGCCUGACGGAGCAACGCCGCGUGAGUGAUGAAGGUCUUCGGAUCGUAAAACUCUGUUAUUAGGGAAGAACAAAUGUGUAAGUAACUAUGCACGUCUUGACGGUACCUAAUCAGAAAGCCACGGCUAACUACGUG
Molecule: ribosomal RNA, 497 nt
Filed under: uncultured bacterium
Lineage: Bacteria
Description: partial 16S ribosomal RNA
Rfam family: Bacterial small subunit ribosomal RNA
Source: RNAcentral